Molecule: ribosomal RNA, 465 nt
Filed under: uncultured Klebsiella sp.
Lineage: Bacteria; Pseudomonadati; Pseudomonadota; Gammaproteobacteria; Enterobacterales; Enterobacteriaceae
Description: bacterial SSU rRNA
Rfam family: Bacterial small subunit ribosomal RNA
Source: RNAcentral
CCUACGGGUGGCAGCAGUGGGGAAUAUUGCACAAUGGGCGCAAGCCUGAUGCAGCCAUGCCGCGUGUGUGAAGAAGGCCUUCGGGUUGUAAAGCACUUUCAGCGGGGAGGAAGGCGGUGAGGUUAAUAACCUCAUCGAUUGACGUUACCCGCAGAAGAAGCACCGGCUAACUCCGUGCCAGCAGCCGCGGUAAUACGGAGGGUGCAAGCGUUAAUCGGAAUUACUGGGCGUAAAGCGCACGCAGGCGGUCUGUCAAGUCGGAUGUGAAAUCCCCGGGCUCAACCUGGGAACUGCAUUCGAAACUGGCAGGCUAGAGUCUUGUAGAGGGGGGGAGAAUUCCAGGUGUAGCGGCGAAAUGCGUAGAGAUCUGGAGGAAUACCGGUGGCGAAGGCGGCCCCCUGGACAAAGACUGACGCUCAGGUGCGAAAGCGUGGGGAGCAAACAGGAUUAGAUACCCGUGUAGUC